This 1435-nucleotide long non-coding RNA is filed under the name Homo sapiens (human). RNAcentral's name for it is "HSALNT0155900". Lineage: Eukaryota; Metazoa; Chordata; Mammalia; Primates; Hominidae. The record is from RNAcentral.
GUUUGCAUGUCUGCAUUUUUUACUGCUCCGUUUAAUAUGUAUGCAAAUGCCGGCCGGCUGCGCCCGCCGCGCGGCUGCACAGUCACACGCGGCGCCCCAUUAAAGCGGCCGUCCCGGGCGCGCGCCUCAUUCGAGGCGACGGGCUCCGGGCCCUGAUAGAUGGGGUGCGGGGACGGAGACAAAUGACGGCCUUUGGGCUCGGAAUACCCACCUUUCUGGUAAUGCAGCCCAGCGGGUCCCAGCCUCGUUUUCCAGCCCUCACUCAAAAUGGAGUCGCUCUGGUUCGAACGCCUCUGACAAGUGUGUACCUACGUGUCAGGAUUUGCCGGGUGCUGGGCCCCAGAAGCCAGCCCUCCUGACGUGUGGCGGCCGUCCUCACCGCUCCCUCCUUCCCUGCAGCAUUCCCCAGCCCCCGGCCCACCCUCCUCCCACCCGCUUCCUGACCCAGGCUCCCGGGCCUUCCCCUCGUGGCCACCUAGCUGUGUGCUUUGUUUGGCUGCUGUCACCCCCAGGAAGGUGAUCCCCGUGAGAACUCAAAUAGCAGAUGCUCAUCUGGGACCCCCGCCUCCAGCCCCAGGGGAGGUUUCCUGGUCCUCACUGUGGCCGGGGCAUGGCUCCUUCACCCCGGGGCUCACCCUCGGUGUCCGUGAAGUCCAGCCGACGGUGACCCUAAGUCCUCCCUCCACUCGCCUAUGUUUGGGGAUAGCCCAUCCUUCCUGCAGGCCUUUGUCUUGGUGUCACCCUGCCUGAGCUGGCCCCAACCACAGUAGCAACAGUGAUGCUGAUGUGUGACUGCUGCCAGGAGCCUGCUCACAUGACCGUGUGGAGAAAGUUCUUUCCCUGAGGACCAUCUGGAGUGGACGCGUGCACUACCCCUCUCUGAAUACACCCUCCCCACGAGGCCCUCUGGAGCAUCCUGUAGAGCCAGCCCCUACCCAGAGACCCUGAGCCCAGAGAAUGCGCUGGGUGGUGAGCCUGGGGACGAAUGCAGAGCCCUAGGUCUCCUCUCCAGAAGUUGGAGUGCCAUGGUGUGGUCAUAGCCCACUGAAGCCUCAAACCUCUGGGCUGAAGCCAUCCUUCCGCCUCAGCCUCCCAAGUAGCUGGGACCAUAGGUGCAUGGCACUGUGCCUGGCACUGUCUGAAUGCAUACAGCUGCGUAGCAUCGUGGUAAGAACACCCGCCCUGACAUCACACAGACCUGCAUCCACGUCCCAGCUGAGCCUCAGUUCUCACAUCUGCAAAAUGGGGAGAACAACAGCAGCAGCGUCCUGAGGCUGGGGUGAGGACCGAGUGAAAAACCUUUGUCGCAUCUUUGGGCAUCGCAGGAGUUCAAUAAAUGUUAGCUAUCGUUGUCACUUUGUAUUAUCCAGCCCAGUCUGGCCCGUUGUAAUCACCUCCUGACCUGUGUCUGGGAGCUCACAGCUCCAAGCAGCAA